AUUUUUUCUAGAAUGGAAAAUUAAAAAACAAUGUUUAAUAGCGACAAAAAAAAACUGAAAAAUACUAGGCAUACCUCCACACAAACUUUGUAUUUGAUGCUCUCGUGUACUAUCAUCCUCGCUAUAUGAUUUUACAUAGCUACAUCACAACGACAAUGAAAAAGCUACCAAGCAAUCCCAACAUGUUGAAGAGAACUGUCCCUUCAUCUAGUCAGCAGGUUUCUUUUGGUUCUGAUAUAACUAAUGCAAGAAACAUGAAUGAAAAUGUAGAUCAAAUCGCAGUUGAAGCCAACAACGAUGCGUCUACUUUAAAGAUUGGCUUGCUCACUAUAAAUCCAAAGCAGGAAGAGUCUAAAUUCUCCGUAGAUGCUGAUGCUGUUGAGACAGUAACAGUAGGAUCUAUGCCAGUGAAAGUCAAUGGAUUUACUGAAUCAUCGGCUACCUAACAUUUGGUACUAUUCCUCAUAAUCCCAAGACCCUACAGCCCGAAGGAGGUACUGCCAAAAAGGGUAGUGAUUGUGGUUAGGCUGAUGACUAACUGGGGGCUUCUUUUUUUUCGGCUGGAACAUACUGCAACCUGGUAGCUAUGUGCAGUCUUGACUGUUGUAAAACUCACUGUACCAUCAUACUCAUUGUUACAGGAUGGUUAAACGAAAUACUUGGUUCAGGUCAGAUUUUUGCUGUUUUUCACCCCACCCCCUCGUUCUUCACUCUUUGACUUACAAGCUGGUUUCCAAGUCCAUGGACAAAUAUACAGACAGACAGACAGACAAGACUGCUUUUUUAGUUUUGUUUUGUUUUUUUGUUUUUGUUUUGUGAGGUGUGGGAGGUGCUUUUCAAUUUGCUUUAGUGGGAAAGCAGUGGAAUCUUUGUUGUUUUUGCACUUCAAUAUUGAACAUGAAAGAAAAAAAUCUGUUUGGUUUUUUGCAAGAUAUUGUAUUUCCAGUGUUCCCUGUUGGAAUCAAAUGUACAAUGUCUUUUUUUUUUUCUUUUAAAAAAAUGAAAUCAGAGAUCUUAGUUGAUUUUGGGAGCCUCCUUUUAUUUUCUUGGACGAUGAUGAUUCUUACAGGGGUUAUAGUGAUUGUGAUAUUCUUACAAGGCAAAUUUGUUUCUUAAUUAGUACUUGUGUUUCAAUAUACGUUGUGAUUGUUUGUUAGUUUCUUUAUUUUACUAUUAUAUAUAUGUAUAUGUAUGUAUAUAUAUGCUUCAGUUUCAUGCUGUAAGUAGCCAAUGUAAGCAUGCUUGUAAAGGUAGACACCUUAUAUGGCUACUUCAACCUGUGGGAUGAGUAGUAAAAUGUUUGAUGUCUACUAAGCAAUGUUCAAGCUCGGAUCUUACCAGUGGACAUGGAGAAAAAUAAACGUUUGAAAAUUUCUGUUUUCAUUUAGGGAUCCAACUUGGUUAUCGGACAUCAGAAACUAUAGGAUCUCAUGCCAUAUUCUAGGAAAAAAUUCUGAAUCUAAAAUUUAUCAAUGAUUAUUCUACUAGAUCCAUAUCUCUAUGCAUCUGCUUGAUAAAAUAGAUCACCCUUUACUAUCACAUUGGACAAGCAUACCUAGAAUCAAUAUCCUAGAAGCUAUUGAGAGGCUAAUAUGGAUACAAGACCUUUAAAUGCUGCAAUACACAAAAUGGUAGCUCACUUUGUUUGGACCUUGGAUUUGCUUCUCCCACUGUUUCUGCUGUUGCUGUCUCCAAUGCCCCAGACCAGACCAAACAGGCUUGAAUUCAAGCAGAUGUUCGAGGAUGCCUAUGAACGCCAUCGUACUGCUUCCACGGAAGGUGUUUCUUUCAUUCUUCGAGUAUUUCCAGACUGCCCUUGAAAACUACAAUUUUGAUUCUGAACUUCGAACCAAGGUAAAAGGAACAAGUUUUCUGUACAGAUGCCAUAGAGGCAAUUUGUUGACAAUACUGCAAAAGGUCCAUUCAAAUAUGGGAAAUAUCCAGACAGCUUUAUGCAUUCUCACUCGAUGCCUUUGACUAACCGGUUUGCAUGUGGUCGUCGGCGAAAACAAGGGCGGAGUAGUGGCAUCGGUGGAGGGUCUUCGGGGCUUUGUCUGUGGUCCCUGAACUGCAUAUGAACACUGUGUUUCAGAUAUUUCUACAGUUGUUCAGCCCGGUGGACACUCUGAAGGUGACUCGAGACUCGCUCAUUGUAUAGGUCAAAUGAUAUAUAUGUCAUGGUAUUGAGCCACAACCACGAAAGAAGCAGAGUAAGUCUAUCUACAAAGAAACUAGAGCCAAUCCCAGGAGAUAUGAUCUGGAAUCGAACUCCAGAGAUGGCUCAGACAUUCAGGCAAAGAAUCGCUCGAGCAGAAGCCAUGGCUCGUGCAGGCGUGCUUAGAUUCCGGCCAGAGUUACAGUUCUUAAGUUACUAAAAAAUGCAGUUAGUUCAUGUGCUAUGUUGUGCGGUUACCUUGCCUUUGUGAUUAAUGUUGCAGAGUGGGUUAACCCCUAACCGUUGACGGUGAAUCGGGUCCGGUUACAUCAGACUUGCCACCAGAAGGCAUGGUCCUCAGUGACUUUCAUUAAGCAGAAGAUUCAUAGCCUAAUUUUAAUUUGCAUUAGCUUGUACUUUGUGAAAUUGGGUAUACCAUUCAAUUGCUUUUAUCACAUGGGAAUCCGUGGAUCAAAUUCUAAA
Molecule: long non-coding RNA, 2638 nt
Organism: Gossypium raimondii (Peruvian cotton)
Lineage: Eukaryota; Viridiplantae; Streptophyta; Magnoliopsida; Malvales; Malvaceae
Exons: 2
Source: RefSeq, a predicted model, not a curated record